UUAAGCGACUAAGCGUACACGGUGGAUGCCCUGGCAGUCAGAGGCGAUGAAGGACGUGCUAAUCUGCGAUAAGCGUCGGUAAGGUGAUAUGAACCGUUAUAACCGGCGAUUUCCGAAUGGGGAAACCCAGUGUGUUUCGACACACUAUCAUUAACUGAAUCCAUAGGUUAAUGAGGCGAACCGGGGGAACUGAAACAUCUAAGUACCCCGAGGAAAAGAAAUCAACCGAGAUUCCCCCAGUAGCGGCGAGCGAACGGGGAGGAGCCCAGAGCCUGAAUCAGUGUGUGUGUUAGUGGAAGCGUCUGGAAAGGCGCGCGAUACAGGGUGACAGCCCCGUACACAAAAAUGCACAUGCUGUGAGCUCGAUGAGUAGGGCGGGACACGUGGUAUCCUGUCUGAAUAUGGGGGGACCAUCCUCCAAGGCUAAAUACUCCUGACUGACCGAUAGUGAACCAGUACCGUGAGGGAAAGGCGAAAAGAACCCCGGCGAGGGGAGUGAAAAAGAACCUGAAACCGUGUACGUACAAGCAGUGGGAGCCUCUUUAUGGGGUGACUGCGUACCUUUUGUAUAAUGGGUCAGCGACUUAUAUUCUGUAGCAAGGUUAACCGAAUAGGGGAGCCGAAGGGAAACCGAGUCUUAACUGGGCGUUAAGUUGCAGGGUAUAGACCCGAAACCCGGUGAUCUAGCCAUGGGCAGGUUGAAGGUUGGGUAACACUAACUGGAGGACCGAACCGACUAAUGUUGAAAAAUUAGCGGAUGACUUGUGGCUGGGGGUGAAAGGCCAAUCAAACCGGGAGAUAGCUGGUUCUCCCCGAAAGCUAUUUAGGUAGCGCCUCGUGAAUUCAUCUCCGGGGGUAGAGCACUGUUUCGGCAAGGGGGUCAUCCCGACUUACCAACCCGAUGCAAACUGCGAAUACCGGAGAAUGUUAUCACGGGAGACACACGGCGGGUGCUAACGUCCGUCGUGAAGAGGGAAACAACCCAGACCGCCAGCUAAGGUCCCAAAGUCAUGGUUAAGUGGGAAACGAUGUGGGAAGGCCCAGACAGCCAGGAUGUUGGCUUAGAAGCAGCCAUCAUUUAAAGAAAGCGUAAUAGCUCACUGGUCGAGUCGGCCUGCGCGGAAGAUGUAACGGGGCUAAACCAUGCACCGAAGCUGCGGCAGCGACACUAUGUGUUGUUGGGUAGGGGAGCGUUCUGUAAGCCUGCGAAGGUGUACUGUGAGGUAUGCUGGAGGUAUCAGAAGUGCGAAUGCUGACAUAAGUAACGAUAAAGCGGGUGAAAAGCCCGCUCGCCGGAAGACCAAGGGUUCCUGUCCAACGUUAAUCGGGGCAGGGUGAGUCGACCCCUAAGGCGAGGCCGAAAGGCGUAGUCGAUGGGAAACAGGUUAAUAUUCCUGUACUUGGUGUUACUGCGAAGGGGGGACGGAGAAGGCUAUGUUGGCCGGGCGACGGUUGUCCCGGUUUAAGCGUGUAGGCUGGUUUUCCAGGCAAAUCCGGAAAAUCAAGGCUGAGGCGUGAUGACGAGGCACUACGGUGCUGAAGCAACAAAUGCCCUGCUUCCAGGAAAAGCCUCUAAGCAUCAGGUAACAUCAAAUCGUACCCCAAACCGACACAGGUGGUCAGGUAGAGAAUACCAAGGCGCUUGAGAGAACUCGGGUGAAGGAACUAGGCAAAAUGGUGCCGUAACUUCGGGAGAAGGCACGCUGAUACGUAGGUGAAGUCCCUCGCGGAUGGAGCUGAAAUCAGUCGAAGAUACCAGCUGGCUGCAACUGUUUAUUAAAAACACAGCACUGUGCAAACACGAAAGUGGACGUAUACGGUGUGACGCCUGCCCGGUGCCGGAAGGUUAAUUGAUGGGGUUAGCGGUAACGCGAAGCUCUUGAUCGAAGCCCCGGUAAACGGCGGCCGUAACUAUAACGGUCCUAAGGUAGCGAAAUUCCUUGUCGGGUAAGUUCCGACCUGCACGAAUGGCGUAAUGAUGGCCAGGCUGUCUCCACCCGAGACUCAGUGAAAUUGAACUCGCUGUGAAGAUGCAGUGUACCCGCGGCAAGACGGAAAGACCCCGUGAACCUUUACUAUAGCUUGACACUGAACAUUGAGCCUUGAUGUGUAGGAUAGGUGGGAGGCUUUGAAGUGUGGACGCCAGUCUGCAUGGAGCCGACCUUGAAAUACCACCCUUUAAUGUUUGAUGUUCUAACGUUGGCCCCUGAUCGGGGUUGCGGACAGUGUCUGGUGGGUAGUUUGACUGGGGCGGUCUCCUCCUAAAGAGUAACGGAGGAGCACGAAGGUUGGCUAAUCCUGGUCGGACAUCAGGAGGUUAGUGCAAUGGCAUAAGCCAGCUUGACUGCGAGCGUGACGGCGCGAGCAGGUGCGAAAGCAGGUCAUAGUGAUCCGGUGGUUCUGAAUGGAAGGGCCAUCGCUCAACGGAUAAAAGGUACUCCGGGGAUAACAGGCUGAUACCGCCCAAGAGUUCAUAUCGACGGCGGUGUUUGGCACCUCGAUGUCGGCUCAUCACAUCCUGGGGCUGAAGUAGGUCCCAAGGGUAUGGCUGUUCGCCAUUUAAAGUGGUACGCGAGCUGGGUUUAGAACGUCGUGAGACAGUUCGGUCCCUAUCUGCCGUGGGCGCUGGAGAACUGAGGGGGGCUGCUCCUAGUACGAGAGGACCGGAGUGGACGCAUCACUGGUGUUCGGGUUGUCAUGCCAAUGGCACUGCCCGGUAGCUAAAUGCGGAAGAGAUAAGUGCUGAAAGCAUCUAAGCACGAAACUUGCCCCGAGAUGAGUUCUCCCUGACUCCUUGAGAGUCCUGAAGGAACGUUGAAGACGACGACGUUGAUAGGCCGGGUGUGUAAGCGCAGCGAUGCGUUGAGCUAACCGGUACUAAUGAACCGUGAGGCUUAACCUU
Molecule: ribosomal RNA, 2902 nt
Filed under: Escherichia coli 5-366-08_S3_C1
Lineage: Bacteria; Pseudomonadati; Pseudomonadota; Gammaproteobacteria; Enterobacterales; Enterobacteriaceae
Description: bacterial LSU rRNA
Rfam family: Bacterial large subunit ribosomal RNA
Source: RNAcentral